RNAcentral lists this transfer RNA (75 nucleotides) under Parcubacteria group bacterium SW_6_46_9. RNAcentral's name for it is "tRNA-Ile". It matches the Rfam family "tRNA". Rfam says of the family: Transfer RNA (tRNA) molecules are approximately 80 nucleotides in length. Their secondary structure includes four short double-helical elements and three loops (D, anti-codon, and T loops). Further hydrogen bonds mediate the characteristic L-shaped molecular structure. tRNAs have two regions of fundamental functional importance: the anti-codon, which is responsible for specific mRNA codon recognition, and the 3' end, to which the tRNAs corresponding amino acid is attached (by aminoacyl-tRNA synthetases). tRNAs cope with the degeneracy of the genetic code in two manners: having more than one tRNA (with a specific anti-codon) for a particular amino acid; and 'wobble' base-pairing, i.e. permitting non-standard base-pairing at the 3rd anti-codon position. The record is from RNAcentral.
GCGCCCAUAGCUCAGUCUGGUUAGAGCACGGUUCUUAUACAGCCGCCGUCCCUGGUUCAAAUCCAGGUGGGCGCA